Molecule: unclassified non-coding RNA, 331 nt
Filed under: soil metagenome
Description: partial contains 5.8S ribosomal RNA, internal transcribed spacer 2, and large subunit ribosomal RNA
Rfam family: 5.8S ribosomal RNA (bases 3-119)
Source: RNAcentral
GAGAAGAACGUAGCAAAAUGCGAUAAGUAAUGUGAAUUGCAGAAUUCAGUGAAUCAUCGAAUCUUUGAACGCACAUUGCGCCCGCCAGUAUUCUGGCGGGCAUGCCUGUUCGAGCGUCAUUUCAACCCUCAAGCACAGCUUGGUGUUGGGACUCGCGUUAAUUCGCGUUCCCCAAAUUGAUUGGCGGUCACGUCGAGCUUCCAUAGCGUAGUAGUAAAACCCUCGUUACUGGUAAUCGUCGCGGCCACGCCGUUAAACCCCAUCUUCUGAAUGUUGACCUCGGAUCAGGUAGGAAUACCCGCUGAACUUAAGCAUAUCAAUAAGCGGAGGA